RNAcentral lists this non-coding RNA (63 nucleotides) under Sus scrofa (pig). Lineage: Eukaryota; Metazoa; Chordata; Mammalia; Artiodactyla; Suidae. The record is from RNAcentral.
ACGUGGGUGUGCCCAGCAGCAGUGCCGUGAAUGGAAGGGCCUCGCUGCUCACCACCCAUGAGA